UAAAAAAAUUUAAAAGUUUUACCAUUUAGUUUUUAUGUGCUCCCAAACAUGAAAGCGUUGAUCGUAGAAUCACUUUUGCUCCCCACUGUAUAUACACGUACAUGCAUAUGUAUGCUAGCCUGUGUAUGAACACAGACAUGUGUGCUUCUAUCUAAUGAAGAUCAUAUUUGCAAUCCUGCAGCUGCAAUCGCUUCUCAAUAAUAGCUUAUGCUGGCAUAAUGGAUUGGCCUUUUCAGGCGCUACCAUCUAUCGCGUUCAGAAACCUGGUUGUUCGAGUGUAAUGAGUGUUUUUCUUUUCUGUUAAAAGCCAAAACAAGUUAAGGAAAUCAAAACAAAGUGAUUUUGAGUUGGUUGAUAAAUUCUUUACACACUUUUCUUUACUUUAUUAAUUAUUAAAAGGUUACUAGAGUUAAAAAUAUCAAAUUUUAAUUAAAAUUUCUCCAUAUAAAAUUCUUGACACAUUGAAAAUCGAUGGAAGGUCCGCGAGAAGCGUUAAAACUAUUAAAUAAAUUAUUAUUUUAUUUUUUUAUUUAUCUAAAAACCACAAUAACAGGUUCAUUCUGUAAUAAAAUUUCCCCUUCAAUAAAGUUUGUUACUAUUUCGUAUUCUGAGUUCACUGUCACCCUACAAAUUUUGAUACCCGCCAAGUAGGCUGUUGUUUGAUUUUAUGUGGAUAAUUUGAGAAAAAAAAAAACAAAAACCAAAAUGUAUAGACAUAACGACAGUACGUCUGGAAUUUAAUUGGUGAUGAAGAAAAAAGUGAAAAAACGUUCUUGUUAAGAGAACGCAAACGUAAACACCAGCACCAGCAACAGCACCAACAACCUAUUUUGAACAUUUACACCAAUUGUACGAAGAGCAAUAACCGGUUUCUUGCAACAACAACAAGUGCAAUAUCUUAAACAAACAAGCGAACGUCCAUUGAAAAUAUGUAAAUACACACAUACAUAUGUAUGUAUAUUAUGUACGUGUAAAUAACAAGAAAAACCAAAUAAGUUAGUAACGAAUGUUGGUGGAGUAUCAAACGGAAGAUAAAUAGGUAGGUGAAAAUCAAAACACAACAAUAAGCACCUUGGGGGAACGAUUUUAAAGGCACGUUGCUGGAUACAUGUAAGUAAAAUUCCAAUGCGCGCGUCGCGUCGCGAUCACAAGGAAUGUUGCUGCACUGCACCUUUAUUUCAACGCAUAAGAAAGCAGCAUCAAUAAUUAUGUGUAGAAAAAUUAAUUCAGAUACACAUACAUAUAAAU
Ceratitis capitata (Mediterranean fruit fly) is the source of this 1248-nucleotide long non-coding RNA. RefSeq lists it as uncharacterized. Lineage: Eukaryota; Metazoa; Arthropoda; Insecta; Diptera; Tephritidae. The record is from RefSeq and is a predicted model, not a curated record. The transcript has 2 exons.